UUAAAUAUUUGGAUAUGACCUGAAUCUCAAAGAUAAGGGAAAGUGACCCAGAAUUCCCAGGGCAUGGUUCAUGCACCACAGAGAAAAAGGGAGGUGGUGAUAUUAUGACAGUUAAGCCAGGCUCAGAAAACAUAUAUUGCAAAGCAAAUGUGAGGUUGAGGAAUUCAGACCAAUAUGAGUUGACUGCUUCUGUCUCUUAAGGAUGUGAAGGCUGGCGCCAAGGAAGUAGGCGCCUUGCUCACUCCUUUUCUGACUCCUGUAGCUUAGCCAACCAUCUGGAACACUCCCACCUUCUUCAUUCAGUAUCUGUGGAAUAAUUUAAUUCUAGAUGUUCUGAGUGAAACAUAUUGGGGGAACCCUUGAUGAGAUGAGGAACAGUUUUAGAAGAAAACCUCAAUGACACAGUGUAAUGCACAAUGUUUGAGGGAAGUCAGUGUUCUUCACAUAGCUAUUGGAGGUCAAUGUCUUGGUUUACCACAAAGUUGAAGAGUUUCAGUGGCAACAUAAAUAUUCCAAUUUAAAUGUUUUCAGUCCUCAUCCAUCAUGUUGUCAGAAAGCCACUGUCCUCACAUGUUUUAAUGAAUACACAGUAAUGGCAUGAGACAUCUAAGCUGGUCAGAUUGUGUCAGCUAGUUCUUGCACCCCUCUUCCUAGCUGUUGCUAGUGGGUGAUCUGAACACUCAUUCUUUAUGAUCAAACUGGGAGUUACGUGAGGUUAAAGCAGGGAGUAUAUCACGUCAACAUUAUUGCCUUUCUCAGAUAUUUGACAUAUUUUCUUAUUCUCUUCAAUGAAUUCCAAGAGUUUUACCAUAUUUCAUGUUAAUUUAUGAUGCAAAGCUUUUGCAAUUGGGUCUCCAUGAUUGAAGAAAAUUUAUCCAUUUUCAAAUUCAUAGAAAUUUGUAGCAAAUUAAUAAUAUGUCAGCCUAUAGGACAUGGAAGAGAAAUAAAGAUGGAAUAAACAUACUUUCCCCGGAUAAGUUACCAUACUAGAAAAUGUGAUAGUUCAGUUGGGUAUAGAAAACCAUCACUCCAUUAAGCAGAGAAAAGGCAAAAGGCAUUGCAAAGAAUAGCAAGGGUUGUAAGGUAGUGUAAUAAUUUCAAAUAAUGGCAAGGUUAUCAGUGAAGGUAUCAUACGCAGGGAAUGGUGGAAAAGAGUGUUUGAAAUAAAGUACAGAGCCAGUUACUAGUUAUCAUGCUAAAAGUUAAACAAUAGUGACAUUUUUCUUCAUAUUUCUUUUGUAGUUUGCACUCGCAAGUGAUUACCUGAUACAAAAUAUCUAGAACAUUUUAAUUCAUUUCACUGGGAGGAAAGCAAACUUUCAUCCAGAAAGAAAUUCUCUAAUUUCCUAAUAGGAUUAAUUUUGCACAUUCUUUCCAUUGGAAAUGAAUAUUUCACAUUUUAUUUGUUACAUUUUCUGGGAAGAAAAGCUAGAUAUCUGAUCAUGAAUUUUAAAGAGUUGAAUUUUGUUUUUAUAUAGCACAUUCUGACAGAAAAUAUCAAGAUGAAUUGAGGGCAAGGUGCACAUCUCUUUUUCCCCUUUACAGUAUUUUAAUUCAGCCAUAAUUUCCUAUCAUUUUAUACCAAUAUACCAUGUAAAUUUCUGAUUUUGACCUGGUCAUUUUCUCAUGUUAUUUGUUCUGACUUCAUAGAGACAAGCUCUUCCUGAAACCUUUAUAUCCAAAUCCAGUAUUAUACUCUUCAGGCACUACAACAAAUCUUGGCUCAUCUGUAAAUCGUGUCUGAUUAGAGACUCCAAAUAAAAGGU
This 1766-nucleotide long non-coding RNA is filed under the name Mus musculus (house mouse). Its description in RNAcentral is "long non-coding RNA chr2:123366507-123368273". The record is from RNAcentral. Lineage: Eukaryota; Metazoa; Chordata; Mammalia; Rodentia; Muridae.